This 208-nucleotide ribosomal RNA is filed under the name uncultured bacterium. RNAcentral's name for it is "partial 16S ribosomal RNA". It matches the Rfam family "Bacterial small subunit ribosomal RNA", at positions 524 to 727 of the family's 1533-position model. The record is from RNAcentral.
UACAGAGGGUGCGAGCGUUGUUCGGAAUUAUUGGGCGUAAAGGGCGCGUAGGCGGUGCGGUAAGUCACUUGUGAAAUCUCCUGGCUCAACUGGAGGCUUGCAGGCGAAACUGCCGUGCUGGAGUGUGGGAAGAGGGUGACGUGGAAUUCCCGGUGUAGCGGUGAAAAUGCGUAGAUAUCGGGAGGAACACCUGUGGCGAAAGCGGCGC